CGUUCCCAAGCAUAUUUGAGACACAGGUUUGGAAACAAAAAUGACUUCACCAGUUAAAUAUUGUUAGAUCCUAUAGUAUAUCAAAGUCACCCAGUGGAAGCUGAGCUGCCUCCUGGUUCAGCUGGAGAUGAUGGGAGCAGGCAAACACUUCCCUGGGCUGCAGUGCCAGCAGAAAGGAGCUCGGGACUGCAGCCAACUCCCUCUGCAAGGGCUUCUGGAUCUGCCUCAGCCUGAGGAGAGACACUGGAACAGCCCUGAAGUUUCUGGUCCUGACAGGAGUUGGGAAGUGACAAGAUUUACAUAAACAAGGAAGAGUUAUCUGAAUCUUCUCAGGACUCG
This is a long non-coding RNA of Neopelma chrysocephalum (saffron-crested tyrant-manakin), 339 nucleotides long. RefSeq lists it as uncharacterized. The transcript is spliced from 3 exons. The record is from RefSeq and is a predicted model, not a curated record. Lineage: Eukaryota; Metazoa; Chordata; Aves; Passeriformes; Pipridae.